Pantherophis guttatus is the source of this 1353-nucleotide non-coding RNA. Lineage: Eukaryota; Metazoa; Chordata; Lepidosauria; Squamata; Colubridae. The record is from RefSeq and is a predicted model, not a curated record.
AUGGUAUUGGAGAUGGAGAAGGUGCCAUUGAAAUGAGAAUGAGAAAAGCUAACGUUGGAAGAAAAAGAGAAUUCAACUUGCACACGAAACUGAUACAGAAAUCAAGAUAUGAGAUGGAAGACUACAAACUCUUUGAGGACAGAAUGAACUCCAAUUGGACUUAUUCAAGAAAAUGUCAGAGAGAGAUUCAUGAAUCUGUAGAAAAAGCUCUUGAAGAAUGUUCAAAAACUGUUGUUCAUCAGGUGCAUUAGGUUUGGGAGAAAAACCAGACAAGGAAGACUGCCUCUUCUUUCAAAAAUUGGUAGAGAAAAAUUUAAAAAGGAAGUGUUAUGAGGAGACAUACAUUUAUUAUAGCACUUACCGUGCCUAAUGAAAUUUGCAUUAGAAAGAUGAUCUUCGUAUAGAGACAGCAUUACAGGAAUCAACUUUGCAAAAGAUUAUUUGUGCCUUGAAUACUGCCGGAUAUAUUGCUUUGCUUCUAAACUUUUAAUGUUUUUCUGUGAUACGAUUCUCCUAUUUUAACUAUUUCAGUGAAUAUUUCAUUUGUUUGACCAUCUAAAACAAGAUGUGCUUUUGUCUUAGAAUAUUUUUUUCUCAUAUGUAAAGUAUUUAAUGAAGCGAUUAAUAGACUGACAGUAAUUAUUUUUUAAAUGGUAACAACUUUACGUUUGAUACUUUAGGCAUGGCACUUCAGAUUUCAAAUUACAGAUCUGGUGGUAGCAUUCUUAGUAUUUUAAAUUGUAUUUUGUAGGACAUAUUCUGACUUCCCAAAAAUAUUACAAAAAGUUCUUGUUGGGAUUUCACUGUUCAAAAUGAGAAUUAUCAGAAAAAUAGUAAGCCAAUGCAAUUAAAAAGAAUAAGAAAAGGAAAGUUUAUUUUUCAAAAUUAUGAAUUUGACUAAAAUUCUCACCUAUGGAAAUUUAUCUAAUUUGACUAUUUUUGACUGCAAACAUAAAAUCUAUCUUGCAUUUUCUACAAUAAUAAUGAAUGAUUCAGAUUUAAAAAUUACAGAAAACAUACAGCGUUCCGGUAUGUAAUGAUGACCACACCUAGAAUGAUGAAUGCAGCAGAUCAUAGUUAGAAUUCACUAGUCAAGAGCACUCUGAAAACAGCUUCAUGGAUAAGUUUGUGUGGAUCAGUUCUGAAAACUAGCUUAAAUCUAUAAAGUAAAUACUUGAUGAUACACACAAACUUUCUAUCUUGAAUGCCAAAAUAUCCCAGGCUUACCUACUUAUAGAAAUAUUUUAAUAUUUCCUAACCUUUAUACUUUAUUCUUGAUUGAAUUCAGUAUUGGUAUUAUUAUUGUCUUUGAAAUGAGAAUCCUUAAGAAAAUAAAGUUAUGUUGGAAAGCAA